RNAcentral lists this ribosomal RNA (1217 nucleotides) under metagenome. RNAcentral describes it as "bacterial LSU rRNA". It matches the Rfam family "Bacterial large subunit ribosomal RNA", at positions 1716 to 2925 of the family's 2925-position model. The record is from RNAcentral.
CAAAAAUUGACACCGUAACUUCGGAAGAAGGUGUGCCCUAUUAGUGUGAAGUGAACAACGGAGCAUGAAUGGGUUGCAAAAAAUCGGUGGCUGCGACUGUUUAUUAAAAACACAGCACUCUGCAAACACGAAAGUGGACGUAUAGGGUGUGACGCCUGCCCGGUGCUGGAAGAUUAAAUGAUGGGGUGCAAGCUCUUGAUUGAAGUCCCAGUAAACGGCGGCCGUAACGAUAACGGUCCUAAGGUAGCGAAAUUCCUUGUCGGGUAAGUUCCGACCUGCACGAAUGGCGUAACGAUGGCCACACUGUCUCCUCCUGAGACUCAGCGAAGUUGAAAUGUUUGUGAUGAUGCAAUCUCCCCGCGGAAAGACGGAAAGACCCCAUGAACCUUUACUGUAGCUUUGUAUUGGACUUUGAACAGAUCUGUGUAGGAUAGGUGGGAGGCUUUGAAGCAGGGUCGCUAGAUCUUGUGGAGCCAACGUUGAAAUACCACCCUGGUGUGUUUGAGGUUCUAACCUAGGUCCAUUAUCUGGAUCGGGGACAGUGCAUGGUAGGCAGUUUGACUGGGGCGGUCUCCUCCCAAAGCGUAACGGAGGAGUUCGAAGGUACGCUAGUUACGGUCGGACAUCGUGACGAUAGUGCAAUGGCAUAAGCGUGCUUAACUGCGAGACUGACAAGUCGAACAGAUGCGAAAGCAGGACAUAGUGAUCCGGUGGUUCUGUAUGGAAGGGCCAUCGCUCAACGGAUAAAAGGUACUCUGGGGAUAACAGGCUGAUACCGCCCAAGAGUUCAUAUCGACGGCGGUGUUUGUCACCUCGAUGUCGGCUCAUCUCAUCCUGGGGCUGUAGCCGGUCCCAAGGGUAUGGCUGUUCGCCAUUUAAAGAGGUACGUGAGCUGGGUUUAAAACGUCGUGAGACAGUUUGGUCCCUAUCUUCCGUGGGCGCUGCAGAUUUGAGGAAGCCUGCUCCUAGUACGAGAGGACCGGAGUGGACACACCUCUGGUGUAUCGGUUGUCACGCCAGUGGCAUUGCCGAGUAGCUAAGUGUGGAAGAGAUAACCGCUGAAAGCAUCUAAGCGGGAAACUCGUUUCAAGAUGAGAUCUGCCGGGGCCUUGAGCCCCCUGAAGAGUCGUUCAAGACCAGGACGUUGAUAGGUCAGGUGUGGAAGCGCAGUAAUGCGUUAAGCUAACUGAUACUAAUUGCUCGUGCGGCUUGACCCC